GAGCACGUAGGUGGGUUUGUAUGUCGAUGGUGAAAUCCAACAGCUCAACUGUAGAACUGCCAUCGAAACUACAUGACUAGAGGACAGGAGGGGAGAGUGGAAUUCCUAGUGUAGCGGUGAAAUGCGUAGAUAUUAGGAGGAACGCCGGUGGCGAAAGCGACUCUCUGGACUGUUUCUGACACUGAGUGUGCGAAAGCUAGGGGAGCAAACAGGAUUAGAUACCCUGGUAGUCCUAGCUGUAAACGAUGGGCACUAAGUAGAGGGGUUUU
Molecule: ribosomal RNA, 269 nt
Filed under: uncultured Planctomycetota bacterium
Lineage: Bacteria; Pseudomonadati; Planctomycetota
Description: uncultured planctomycete partial 16S ribosomal RNA
Rfam family: Bacterial small subunit ribosomal RNA
Source: RNAcentral